Oreochromis aureus is the source of this 537-nucleotide long non-coding RNA. Lineage: Eukaryota; Metazoa; Chordata; Actinopteri; Cichliformes; Cichlidae. The record is from Ensembl.
GGCAGUUUCAUUUCAGGAAUGAGUGUGCACAAUCAAAGAGCGACUGUGGAGAGACCUCUGGGUGGCCGUUACAUGCAUUUACUACGAUGUUCUUCACAACCCUGAGGAAGAAGGCCUUCUUGACAUUUCAAAUGCUGCACACCUCUUUUGCUGCCAUUACAUCUUUCUUCCUCGACUAGAGGAUAAUUUUAAUACAUUUUGCAGUGGAUGGGACAACCAUCCACUGCGAACAGAAAACAACAUGAGUCCCCCAACCAGCUGUGGGAGUUGGGUCACAGAUAUCACCCUGUUCCUGUUCCAGAUAACACACAGCUUAUCGCACAUUUGAUUUCCAUGUGUGACAACUGCAAGUGUCCAGAGUGAGGACAGACUGAGGGACCCACUGCUGCACAUCAUCUGUGAGGCUUUGCACCCCUGAUGAUCCACCAGGACAAACUCAGCAGUGUGUGAGGAAGAGGAGGAGGAAGAGCCAGCAGCAGCUGACAGAUGGAGAGAAUAGACAGACUGUUCCCUGUUUGUGAAGGACUGCUAGAAAAG